This 1775-nucleotide unclassified non-coding RNA is filed under the name Hevea brasiliensis (rubber tree). The record is from RNAcentral. Lineage: Eukaryota; Viridiplantae; Streptophyta; Magnoliopsida; Malpighiales; Euphorbiaceae.
GUGGAAGAGAAAAGGAUUCUCCUUAACACUACAAUGGAGGAAUGGACUAAGUUUGCCCAUAACCCAAAAUAGAAUACAGAAACAUAAAAGGGCAAUUGGCAAUUUUCAUUUUUUAUUGUAUUGUAACAAAUUCAAACUUGAAGAAUUACAGAAAAUACAAGAAUCCAGCAUUAUAUGAUUGAUGAUGCUUCCAUUUUCAACUUUAAUCUUUCUACUCUGCUUGUUCCAGAGGUGGAUAGCUAAACUUUCACUUCUUAUCUGCUCAAGCUUUCUGUGCAACCAUUUUGAGUGUAGCUUAUCUCCUGGCCCCCUAAACAGACUUCUAAUUCUGCUCCAAUUCACUGGAUAAAAUGCAGAUGGGGGCAACACAGUGAAAUUAAUCCCAGGCCUGCCAUAGACCCUUGAAACAACUCUGGAAACUAGAUAAGGACCAUUAUGACCCCACUUGUUUCCAUUGAAUGUGAGUGCAAAUUCUUCAAUGAACUUGAAGAGUAAAGGAUGCUUCUUAUCAAAAAUCAACACUGCAUUAUUCAAUCUGCUCCAAUUCCCAGUUUCAAGAUCAAUCGUUUGUGCUCCUAUGACAUUCCUCAGUUUACCAAAGCUCUUCAACACUAUAACAUCUGUGUCUACAUAAAUACCACCAAAUUUAUACAAUAAGGCAAGCCUAAGCAAAUUGGAGAGAUUUUGACCCAAAGAAACCUCUCCGGGAUCAACAUUCCCUUUGUUUAAUUCAUUAAACCAUGACUCUGCAUGAGUAUUCUUGAAUAUAUAAUCAAAAUUAGGCUUAAUUGCAAUUACUUUGAACCCUUUAUCCAAAAAUGGCCUUAAGAAAAGGCUCCCCUUUUUAGAAUCCAUGGAAUUGGAAACAAUAACCAAACAAGCAUUUGGGUGAAACUUGAAUAAACUCUCUAUAGCAAACAACUCUCUAUCACCAAAUGACUCCAAAGAAGAAAUCCAAGUCAUAAAGAACCGAACCUUACAUAGAGUACUCCCAAAGAAGGUCCUUAUUCUUGUCGAAAACCGCUUUGAUUUGGCUCCAUAUCGCAGAACUUUGAUCACAGCUCUGUAUUUGUGCACAUUCUUUGGCCUUAAAACCGAAGAAUAGUUAAUGGGUAUCAUUGAAAUGGGUGGUUUUGGCAAAAGGGGUAACUGUGUCUUCAAAAUGACUGGUGGAUUCUCUUCUUUUACUGCAUACAUCACUGAAGAAGAAAGCUUCUUAAAAGAUUUUCCCGUGCGAUUUUCCGGUGAAAAAUUAACAUGCUCCGGCUGGGAAUUGACGGGAAUUGGAAGGCGAAUGUGGAACACAGAGGAGCCAUUAUAGACCAAAAGGAGAAACAAAAUAAGAGCAAGAAGAGAAGUGGGCAAGCAAGAGAGCAAGGCAAAGAUGGAUCUUUUAAUGUUCUGUACAUAAUGAAUAAACAGAAGGACAAUCUUAGAAACUUGGAUGAUUAGGUACAUGGUGCUUUAUGGUUAAAAUGGGUUCUUGGAUUUUGCUUUCUGGUUCAUAGAGGAUUAAGAGGAAGCUCAGCAGAGAGACAGAGAGAAGGAGGGAGGAGAAAUUUUAAUGGAGAAGGCGGCAAAAGAUGCAAGAAGAGAAAUGGUAGUGUUUUGGACAUUGGGAUUGGGAACCAAAAACCCAUAAAUUUGUGAGCUCUUGUACUUCACAUUGUACAAGCACAAUCAUUAACAGAAUAAACAAAGACAAACAAAAGCUGUUUAGCUGGAAGCUUGGCCUGGUUCAACUUCGUAGUUGCUUCUCAUUCUGAAGGGAAAAG